CCCUCCAAAUCAGCUCACCACUAAACCCAAGUCCUUAAAACCACCUUCUUUCUGCAGUAAAUACUCAGGAAACAAGACUUGGCGCCAGUGUCCAGAAAACCCUGCAGUCCAGUGGUUGAUUCGAGGGUCUGUGUUUUGCAAAUCCACUGGGCUUCGAAGCUGGGACUCAAUGGAGUCUGGCUCAUUUGGAAAUGUAUUUAUAAAAGGCCCAGGCCCAGGAGCAGAGCAUAUCCUUAGAAUCCGCAGUCUCCAGGUGGCAUCCAGCCCCCAAGUGUUUCUUUUAAAAACAGUUUUAGUUUUCUUAAAAUAAUAAUAACAACCUAUUUUCUGCUUGUUCUUCAUCCAUGGGGUUCUUGUUAGUGGUUUGGGAUAUGCUUGGGUGUCCAAAACAGCUAUAGUCCCCAAAGCAGGCGCCUCUUCUUACUUCUGGAAAGGAUCCUUUCUUCUUUUAUGCCGUUGGAAGAAAGUUUUGGAGCUCAGGGAACUGGAAGAAGGGCUCCUUUCUGUUUACUAAAACUUUCAUGCAACGGCUUUGAAAAGUAUGAAGAGGUCUUCCCUUCUCCUGCUUCCUCCAUCCAAUUGCAGCACUGUGAUGGGGAGUACCCCCUCUCACUUCUCUGCUGAUGGGCAGAAGUGUGGGAAUCUGAAAAGAUGCGAGUGAGCACGGGCACCUGCCUGUCCAAACGUGUGGGCAUUGAGUGUCUGGUCUGCAUGUGCGUCCAGAAGAACACAAGCAGAGUCCUGCUGAAUCAGUCCAAAGUUAUGCACCGGGUACCUGCAGGUUUCAGCACCACGGAGAGCUCCCAGUGAGCCACAUGCUCCAACCAAGGCUGGAGGUCAGCUGAGGCCCUUAUGAGACCCUUCUUCCUAAGGUCCAUUAAAUAUUAGGGAUUUUAACAACUACAUAACGUUCUAGCCUUCAGGCAGUCACUUAUUCGAUUGACUGUGGCCUCCCACUUGCCAUGCUGCCUGAGCUAUUGGCCAGGUGUGGAACAGGUAACACUGGCUCAGGCUCUGUUUCCUCCUCCUCUGAGCUCAAGGCCAUGAUACCUGAGAUCCUAGGAGCCACUGCCAGUCAGAGUAGACCAUGCUUGGCUAGUUGAAUAAAUAGUAUGACAUUGUGUAAGGUGGUUUCCUAUUUUUCCAUGUUGAAUCGUGCUCUGUGGCCAAGACUGAGGCCACACCUUACAGUUUAAAGGACUGCUAUACCACUUUUACAGUCAUGGCUUCCCCCCAAAGAAACCUGGGAACUGUAGCUAGAUAGACUUAUGCUAAGCUAGACAGGCCAAGGAUCUGACUCUAUCUAAGACAGUUUCCACCCUCUCCACAUUACUGCCCUCGUUCCUCAGCUGUACAGUCUUGUCUUGGUAUCCUCCUUUCCAUCUGGAAGAUCCAUUGUCAGACAAAUGACCCGUGUCCAUAGCAAAACAAAAGGGCUUGUGUUUGGGGAUUGGAGAACCCUAAAGGCAGCCCUCCAACUGGCCUGGAGAUGACCCAACACCACUGACACCCAAAAUGCUUUGGAUUUGUACAGGGAGGUUAUCCAAGAUCCCUCGGCACACGUUUAUUUGUUUUUAAAGCCGUAUCCUGGUUGAAUUCCCACUCAAAGCAUUGAAUUUCUGCCUUUCAGAAUUGUCCAGUUGGACACGACCACAUUUUUAAUAAUCGCCUGCUUUCCCCCCCCCCUUCCUUCCCUCCCUCCUUGUUCUUGCUGUCUUGAAUUGCUGCCUUCAGUCAGCCAGGGAAUAUUGCUGUGCUCAGUUAAACAGUGGCUGCUCUUUGCUCUGAAAAUCUUUGCUCAACAUAUUCCUUUAAUUUUUGUGGGAGUUACUGUUCCGUUGUUGAUUAUUUAUUUACUUACUUAUAUCCUGCCCAUCUGGCUGGGUUUCCCCAGCCAUUCUGGGAGGCCACCAACAGAAUAUUAAAAACACGAUAAAACAUCAAACAUUAAAAACUUCCCUGAACAGGGCUGCCUUCAGAUGUCUUCUAAAAGUCAGAUAGCUGUUUAUUUCCUUGACAUCUGAUGGGAGGGCGUUCCACAGGGCAGAAGCCACUACCGAGAACGCCCUCUGCCCGGUUCCCUGCAACCUCACUUCUCGCAGUGAGGGAACCGCCAGAAGGCCCUCUGCUCUUGGACCUCAGUGUCUGGGCUGAACGAUGGGGGUGGAGACGCUCCUUCAGGUAUACUGGGCCGAGGCCUUUUAGAGCUUUAAAGCUCAGCACCAACACUUUGAAUUGUGCUCGGAAACAUACUGAGAGCCAGUGUAGUUCUCACAGGACCGGUGUUAUGUGGUCUUGGUGGCCAUUCCCAGUCACCAAACUGGCUGCCACAUUAUGGAUUAGUUGUAGUUUCCAGGUCCCCUUCAAGGUAGCCCCACAUAGAGUGCAUUGCAGUAGUCCAAGCAGGAGAUAACUAGAGCAUGCACCACUCUGGCGAGACAGUCCGCGGGCAGGUAGGGUCUCAGUCUGCAUCCCAGAUGGAUCACCUAUGGCUGACUCCGGCCAUGACAGACAGGGGCUGUAGCUCAGCGCGAGAGCAUAUGCUUUGCAUGCAGAAGGUCACCGGAUCAGUCUCCACUGGCAUCUCCAGGUAGGGCUUGGAAUGUUCCCAGUCUGAAACCCCGGAGAGCCUCUGCCAGUCAGUGUGGACAAGACUGAGCUCAAUGGGCCAAAGGUCUGACUCCAUUUAAGGCAGUUUCCUAUGGUCAUAUAAGGGAGCAGAGACUUUCCUUGCAGGAGCCAACGGCAUUAUGGCAUCUCUCUCUGUGUGCGCCUGUGUGUGGGUGUGUGAAAACAUAUAAAAUAUAGCUCACACUUCCCACACAUAAAGGAGUGUAAUGUUCAUAUGGACCUCUUCCAAAUGGCUUUAAAAGGCCCCUGGGGCGUCUAUAAUAUUGUACGCUGUUUGAGCUUCCACGUUUGGAAGGUCCCACCGCUGCUGCCUUUUAAAACUGAUCCAUUUGGCCGAAAGCGCUUUCUCAGAAGGUGUGCAUCCUUCUACUUGCCCACCGGCCUCCCCAGCAAUAAUGCGUUCCCAUUUCGUCCAUUCACACUCGCUCUCUCUGGACUGGCAGAGGAAGAAGAAAAGACACUUUCCCUUUCAAGUUGGAGCAGGGAUCAGCAAACCAGAGGUGUCGGGAAGGCGAUGUCGCCAGGACAAGCCUCUCUUUCCCCCUCCUUCCCACUUUCCCCUCCUCUGUGAACAUUAGUGGAUUAACUGGAGCUAUUAAUGGAUUUAUGUACUCAAGAAUGGACUUCAGGCUAUGAAUUGGAUUCUCUUAGCUGCAUCUGGGGUGUGGGUUGCGCAACAGAAGUCUAUCAAUGCCUAUUAGUCGUAGUCCAAUGGAACCUCCAGACCCAGGGGUAGUCUACCACCAUAUCAACUGCUGGAGGAUUCUCCUACUCCCCAGCCUCCUUUCCCUGUCCCUGGAUUCCCAAGCAUGUUGCUCCAUCUUAGAGAAAAGGAUCCAGAGGAAGUGACUGCCUGGGAGAAGCAGUGAGUGCGGAAAGGGUUAAGCCAGCGACACGGGUGGUGCUGUUGUCUAAACCACAGAGCCUCUUGGGCUUGCCAAUCAGAAGGUCGGUGGUUCAAAUCCCUGUGAUGGAGUGAGCUCCCAUUGCUCUGUCCUAGCUCCUGCCAACCUAGCAGUUCGAAAGCAUGCCAGUGCAAGUAGAUAAAUAGGUACUGCUCUGGCAGGAAGGUAAAUGGCAUUUCCCUGCACUCUGGCUUCUGUCGGUGUCCCGUUGCACCAGAAGCGGUUUAGUCCUGCUGGACACAUGACCUGGAAAGCUGUCUGUGGAUAAACGGCAGCUCCCUUGGCCUGAAAGCGAGAUGAGUGCCACAACCCCAUAGUCGCCUUUGACUGGACUUAACCAUCCAGGGGUCCUUUACCUUUCACCUUUUUUACCUAAGCCAGGGGUGGGGAACUUUUCUUAGUAUGAAAGCCACGUUGCCUUCUGGGGGCCACGUGCCGGUGGCGAAAGUGAGCAGAGCCAUGAAUGUAAUUUUUACCUCUGUACAAUAAGAUUGAUCUCUCUGCCCUCCAGCCAGAUAAGCAAACAGCACUAAACAAACCAGGCAAACAUACUUAGGGAGGAGUCAAAGCAGAGGCAUGAGAGGGUGUGGCUUGGGGAGAGUCUUGAGGGCCAGACAGAGAGGAUUGAAGGGCCACAUUGAGCCUGAGUUUCCCCGUCUCUGUCCUUAUGAUAGGGAAGCACUGCCAUAUUUAUUGGAACUUGGAGCUGUGUGCCCAGAACUAUGCGUGCAAUGUUUUAUGACUACAAUUGUCCGCAAUUCCUGCUUGUAUGAAACCUACAAGUACAAAGGGAAGCAACAAAAAAGAAGCUCAUAAACUGCCCACCAGUUCACACAUAAGACUUUUGAGCCAGCCGCCAUGCGUUCAGAAGCCUCUGGGUGACUGUGGUGGCAUUAGAAUGGGGAGUUACAGGCACCCACACAGAGCCCCCUCACUCGCUCGUUCAAACCAGCAGAUCAAUUCCUUUAAUGUCAUGCAAAACUAAACACUGCAAACAGGAGGUGUGAUGCUGAAAGGGUGGGCCACCUGUAGCUCUAAAUUCUGACAGUAGUUGCUACAGUCACCUGGAGGCUUCUUCCUCUUCUUCUUUCACUCGUAGCCGAGUAAUAUUGUCUUCCAUGAACACUCUUUUAACAAUGAGUCUGCAAGUGACUGUGGAGGCCAGUUCUAGAUCCACACGUCCUUCCACAGUGGGGACAUUGGUUUCCAGGCGGGAGUUGAUCAUGGUGUGGAUUUGCCAAGCGUGCCUUCUUCUUAGCAUGUUUCUCCCUUGUGUCCUGAGUUCGAGCAUCUUCAAAGCCCACAACACCUUUGGUAAAGGCUGUUCUGCAAUUGGAGCACUCGCAAGCCAGUGUUUCCCAUUUGUCGGUGUUUAUACUACAUUUUUAAAGAUUUGCCUUGAGACAGUCUUUAAACCUCUUCUGUUGAACACUAGCAUUACGGUUUCCAUUUUUAAGUUCGGAAUAGAGUAGUUGCUUUGGAAGACGAUCAUCAGGCAUCCGCCCAACAUGACCAGUCCAGCGAAGUUGAUGUUGAAGAAUCAUUGCUUCAACACAGGUGAUCUUUGCUUCUUCCAGUACACUGGUAUUAGUUCACCUGUCUUCUGAUUUGAAAACUUCUCUGAAUUUCUCCAUGACUUCCCCUUUUAUAACCAGGAAACCCCUGGAGGCUGGAAGUUGAUUGCCCAAACUGAAAUCUCUACGUAACACAUAUCCAAGAGAAUGGUUGCUGUAGCUCAGCGGUGGAAAAUCUGCUUUGUACACAGGAGGUGCCCAGUUCAGUCCUCAGAUGGGGCUUGGGGUGUCCUCUGCCUGAAAUCCUGGAAAGCUGCUGCCAGCCUGUGUGGGCAAUACUGAGCCAGAUGGACCAAUGGUCUAAGGCAGCUUGCUUGCAUGCAUCAUAUAACUAGAUGUUUUGUAAUAUUGCAGGUAGCCAGUGGUAGUUGAUUCUAUCCUUACUUCUGUCCCUUUCUUAAAAGCCCCUUUAAAAAAGAAACAAAAAUGUUUGGAGCCAUAAAAGAUAGCUUUGUUUUCGCCAGAACCAUGUUAUGAGUUCCAUAUCUGGGAUGGAUUUUCCAGGAAUGCAUAAUGCAGACCUUAUUGUCCUGAGCAGCUCGGAUGCUUAACAUGCGCAGGAAGAGCUGAUAAGCUAUCUGUCCAAUGCUUUUACUAGCAGAUUCAAGCUUCCCUCACUCACUCAUGGAAAUAGGAACCCACAUCUCCAAUCUCUGGUGUGCCCGGCUGUUUGCGGUUUGCAGAAUGAGUGGCUUUAUACUUCCGGAAGCGAUGCUCAACAAAUAAGUGCCCGUGGUCUGUACCGUUUAGUGAGCAUAAAGGGGGCUUCCAGACUAUCGCUGUUUUUGGGUGGGAUUCCAUCACAUCCGGAUAAAUCGCCCUGUUGUAUUUUAUAGGGUGGUCUUGUGCAACAAACCUUCCCCCCCCCAAAAAAAGUGCGCUGGAAAUGAAUUGGGGAGUGUGGGAUAGCACUUAUUUUGAUGCAACAUCAUCUAGUGUCCCUGCAAACACAUCAGAACAAAUAGACA
This is a non-coding RNA of Zootoca vivipara (common lizard), 6078 nucleotides long. Lineage: Eukaryota; Metazoa; Chordata; Lepidosauria; Squamata; Lacertidae. The record is from RefSeq and is a predicted model, not a curated record.